Molecule: unclassified non-coding RNA, 271 nt
Filed under: Hevea brasiliensis (rubber tree)
Lineage: Eukaryota; Viridiplantae; Streptophyta; Magnoliopsida; Malpighiales; Euphorbiaceae
Source: RNAcentral
AGCUGGGGCACUCGUCUUGUUCCUGUGGAGCGCCCAGCUGGACUGAAUGAUGUUGGCAUGGUAGCAUGGAGCAUGGAAAUGUCUACCCCCGAGUUCCCUUCUGGAAGGACAAUUUUGAUUGUAGCAAAUGAUGUGACCUUCAAAGCUGGGUCUUUUGGCCACCAAGAGAGGAUGCAUUUUUCUUUGCAGUAACUGAUCUUGCUUGCACUAAAAAGUUGCCAUUAAUUUAUUUGGCAGCAAACUCUGGUGCCCGAAUUGGAGUUGCUGAGGA